RNAcentral lists this non-coding RNA (23 nucleotides) under Arabidopsis thaliana (thale cress). Lineage: Eukaryota; Viridiplantae; Streptophyta; Magnoliopsida; Brassicales; Brassicaceae. The record is from RNAcentral.
CGUGAGGGCAUGUCUGCGCAACA